RNAcentral lists this unclassified non-coding RNA (234 nucleotides) under uncultured fungus. Its description in RNAcentral is "sequence contains ITS1". The record is from RNAcentral. Lineage: Eukaryota; Fungi.
GUAUUAUAUCGCGUUAAACGCAGAGUGCAUUCCAUAAGACUUCGCUACGGCGUAUGUGUAAAGACAUAGAACCACGGCAGGAAGACAGCGUGUCCCCCAGACCAUAGAACUACAGAGGGUGCACAGGUGUGAGUGGAUGUGUGAACAGAGCGUGCACAUGCCCCCGUUUGAGGACCAGCAACAACUCGUGUCGACAACUCUGUAAUGAUCCUUCCGCAGGUUCACCUACGGAAA